This 345-nucleotide small RNA is filed under the name Histoplasma capsulatum. Its description in RNAcentral is "hypothetical RNA". Lineage: Eukaryota; Fungi; Ascomycota; Eurotiomycetes; Onygenales; Ajellomycetaceae. The record is from RNAcentral. RNAcentral also lists the same sequence under 1 other name.
UGGCACCGACGCAGGCCCUGGGAUCAGGAUUCUGGCGACGCCUGGCCUAUGAAAUAGGCAACAUCACUUUGGGAAAUAUAUUACUCAGUAUCGGGUCGAUAGGAAACGCCCAUUCGUGGUGAUUCAUUUUCAACGAGUCAAAAUGCCCUCGAGUAGGCCAGUGGAUCUCUUGGCAUUUUAUAGCAGGUGCGACUUCCACUGGACAACGUUCCUUGCCAACACGAGGAAGAUCUGAGGAAACCAGCUGAAAACAUACAUAAGCCGGAGCUAUAGAUUUGCGUUUUACCCACUCCUAGACAGCUUCAAGAACUGUGUGGAUAAAAACUUCCCCCGAUAUCUGUCAAG